This 487-nucleotide long non-coding RNA is filed under the name Oryza sativa Indica Group (long-grained rice). RNAcentral describes it as "lncRNA OsMH63_11G016810". The record is from RNAcentral. Lineage: Eukaryota; Viridiplantae; Streptophyta; Magnoliopsida; Poales; Poaceae.
AUGAACGCCACCGUUGCAUCACCGUCGGAGCCCGCCGCCGCCGUCACCGUCGCAUCGCUAGACGAGCUCCGCGAGGUGGCCGAGGAUGAUCCCCGCGCGUGGCGGUCACCGGCGUCCCCCCAGGCGGAGGAGCUGCACGCGCUCGUCCGCGACCACGUCGAGGCGAAGCUCUGGAGCGUCGGCGUCGGCGACGAGGCCGACGCCGCCAUGGCGGCGCUCAGGUCCGCGGCCGACGGCGCCGCCCGCCUCGUGGGGCUGAGCCGCGCGCUGGACGCCGUCGCGGCCGGACACGGAGGACGGAGCCCCGGCGCCGGCCACGGUGCCCCGCGUCACGCUGCUGAGGGAGCAAUUGUUGCCAUUGACCUCCUCCCAUCGGCGUCAAUCCACUAUCGCGCGAAGCCACGUCAUCAGCCUCCCUCACUCAUUCUCCUCUAUCGCCAACGUGAACAUGCAGUACUGCAAAGGAUCUUAAUUUAACGUCUUCCUU